GUCCCUGUAGCGCAAAGGAUAGCGUAACGGCCUCCGAAGCCGUAGGUGAGAGUUCGAAUCUCUCCAGGGACA
This 72-nucleotide transfer RNA is filed under the name Anaerolineaceae bacterium. RNAcentral's name for it is "tRNA-Arg". It matches the Rfam family "tRNA". Rfam says of the family: Transfer RNA (tRNA) molecules are approximately 80 nucleotides in length. Their secondary structure includes four short double-helical elements and three loops (D, anti-codon, and T loops). The record is from RNAcentral. Lineage: Bacteria; Bacillati; Chloroflexota; Anaerolineae; Anaerolineales; Anaerolineaceae. RNAcentral also lists the same sequence under 1 other name.